RNAcentral lists this transfer RNA (58 nucleotides) under Littorina brevicula. RNAcentral describes it as "tRNA-Gln". The record is from RNAcentral. Lineage: Eukaryota; Metazoa; Mollusca; Gastropoda; Littorinimorpha; Littorinidae.
UAGCGGUGUUAGGGCACGAAGAAUUUUGAUUUCUUAAGAGAGGUUCAUGUCCUCCUAG